Molecule: ribosomal RNA, 491 nt
Filed under: uncultured bacterium
Lineage: Bacteria
Description: partial 16S ribosomal RNA
Rfam family: Bacterial small subunit ribosomal RNA
Source: RNAcentral
UUGAACGCUGGCGGCAUGCUUUACACAUGCAAGUCGAACGGUAACAGGCCUUCGGGUGCUGACGAGUGGCGAACGGGUGAGUAAUGCAUCGGAACGUACCCAGAGGUGGGGGAUAACGCAGCGAAAGCUGUGCUAAUACCGCAUGUGAUCUGAGGAUGAAAGCGGGGGACCGAGCAGCAAUGUUUGGCCUCGCGCCUUUGGAGCGGCCGAUGUCGGAUUAGCUAGUUGGUGGGGUAAAGGCCUACCAAGGCGACGAUCCGUAGCUGGUCUGAGAGGACGACCAGCCACACUGGGACUGAGACACGGCCCAGACUCCUACGGGAGGCAGCAGUGGGGAAUUUUGGACAAUGGGCGCAAGCCUUAUCCAGCAAUGCCGCGUGCGGGAAGAAGGCCUUCGGGUUGUAAACCGCUUUUGGCAGGAACGAAACGGUGUCCGCUAAUACCGGGCGCUAAUGACGGUACCUGCAGAAUAAGCACCGGCUAACUACGUG